ACCACUUACUUAUCCUUUAAAAA
Molecule: small nuclear RNA, 23 nt
Filed under: Arabidopsis thaliana (thale cress)
Lineage: Eukaryota; Viridiplantae; Streptophyta; Magnoliopsida; Brassicales; Brassicaceae
Description: snRNA_03301
Source: RNAcentral